RNAcentral lists this ribosomal RNA (492 nucleotides) under uncultured bacterium. RNAcentral describes it as "partial 16S ribosomal RNA". It matches the Rfam family "Bacterial small subunit ribosomal RNA", at positions 29 to 507 of the family's 1533-position model. The record is from RNAcentral.
AGUGAACGCUGGCGGUAGGCCUAACACAUGCAAGUCGAACGGCAGCACAGUAAGAGCUUGCUCUUACGGGUGGCGAGUGGCGGACGGGUGAGGAAUACAUCGGAAUCUACUUUUUCGUGGGGGAUAACGUAGGGAAACUUACGCUAAUACCGCAUACGACCUACGGGUGAAAGCAGGGGAUCUUCGGACCUUGCGCGAUUGAAUGAGCCGAUGUCGGAUUAGCUAGUUGGCGGGGUAAAGGCCCACCAAGGCGACGAUCCGUAGCUGGUCUGAGAGGAUGAUCAGCCACACUGGAACUGAGACACGGUCCAGACUCCUACGGGAGGCAGCAGUGGGGAAUAUUGGACAAUGGGCGCAAGCCUGAUCCAGCCAUACCGCGUGGGUGAAGAAGGCCUUCGGGUUGUAAAGCCCUUUUGUUGGGAAAGAAAAGCAGCAGGUUAAUACCCCGCUGUUCUGACGGUACCCAAGGAAUAAGCACCGGCUAGCUUCGUG